CGUAGGCGCGUGCAUGUGUGCCCCGGUCACAGCUCCUUUCAGCAUGGCCGGAGGAGAGGUGUACUGGCAGUCGCGUGACACACACAGAUCAGACACAUAUUUCUGUGUUGCAGAUGUGCAGUAAAGAGCCAAAGACCCAGUACUGUCUCCUGCCUCUUACUUUCACGCCAGAACACAACGCAAGAACAACAGGCGUAACACAUGAACGGGUUACACAUACUGAGGUGAGUUGUUGAGGAUAUGUCGAGCUGUUGAUGAGCACGGCUGGUUUUGUGCUCUUAUAUACUGUUAGCCUGUUUUGCUGGCGUUAGUGAAGCUGUUUUCAACUGGAUGUAACAUUGUUGAACUCUGAUGAUUAAUGAAUAAACUCUCGAUGUGACGACGUGAGCAUGUAAUUGUAACCCUGUGUUCAUUUAGUCGUUUAUUGUCACAUUGUGCGCCAUGUUAUUGUUUCGGUGAAAUGAAUUUCUACAAUGGCGGACUUAGACAAAAUAGUGUUACUGUUAAGACACAGACACUGCAAACCUCAUCUCUGGAGAAAAACCACAAGAACAACAUCCAAAAGAAAGAAAACAUACCUUAGAAACAUGCCGGGUUAGAGGAGACGGCAGCACUGCAGAGGUGAGGACAGGCAUCUGUUUGAAAUAGACAAAACAGUAAACAUAGUCAUACAGACUCAGAGACGCUUUCCAUCCAAUCUGUCUGAGUUUGAGCUGUUUUACAGUGAAGAAUGGGCAAAUAAUUCAGUCUCUAGAUGUGCAAAGCUGGUAGAGACGUACUCCAAAAGACCUGCAGGUGUAACUGGAGCAAAAUGUGGCUCUAUGAAGAGCAGGGGGUGAAUAGAAAAGAAUGACACACUUUUCCAAAUUUAAUUUGCUUAGAAUUUUGACAACCAUGUAUUAUUUUCAUACCACUUCACAAUUAUGUGCUACUUUGUGUUAAUCUACCAUUGAAACUGUCAAUAAAAACAUCUUUUGUUUGUGGUUGUAAGGUGACAAAAUGUGCACAAGUUCAAGGACUAUGAAUGCUUUUUCAAGGGACUGUAAUGUCAAAUCACCCCACAUGCACACAUCAGUGCACAGGCAUGUACACACAUGCAGAGUUACAUUAUCAAAGAAGCUAAAAAAACAAGCUCUGCUUUAACUUUUAACUAAAAAAAAAGACUGCAAACUUUAGGAACAAUAUGGAAUGAGUGAUAAUGUCAUCAUUCCAUGAAUUGAAAAAAUUUGUUUCACCUUAAAUCUUUUUUUCUUUUCUUAAUUGCAAAAACUGUAAAUUUGGCUCAAGGGGACCUGAAAGCCAGGAGACAAUUUAUUGACUUUGCCCACAAUCUUAUGAAGAAAAAGAUUUCCAAUAAAUAUUAACUCAUUCACUGCCAGCCAUUUUC
Maylandia zebra (zebra mbuna) is the source of this 1387-nucleotide non-coding RNA. NCBI's taxonomy places the organism in Eukaryota, Metazoa, Chordata, Actinopteri, Cichliformes, Cichlidae. The record is from RefSeq and is a predicted model, not a curated record.